This 422-nucleotide ribosomal RNA is filed under the name uncultured bacterium. RNAcentral describes it as "bacterial SSU rRNA". It matches the Rfam family "Bacterial small subunit ribosomal RNA", at positions 355 to 774 of the family's 1533-position model. The record is from RNAcentral.
UAAGGAAUAUUGGUCAAUGGACGCAAGUCUGAACCAGCCAUGCCGCGUGGAGGAUGAAGGUCCUCUGGAUUGUAAACUUCUUUUAUCUGGGACGAAACACUUCUUUUCUAAGAGGCCUGACGGUACCAGAUGAAUAAGCACCGGCUAACUCCGUGCCAGCAGCCGCGGUAAUACGGAGGGUGCAAGCGUUAUCCGGAUUCACUGGGUUUAAAGGGUGCGUAGGUGGGUAUGUAAGUCAGUGGUGAAAUCCCCGAGCUUAACUUGGGAACUGCCAUUGAUACUAUAGGUCUUGAAUUAUCUGGAGGUAAGCGGAAUAUGUCAUGUAGCGGUGAAAUGCUUAGAUAUGACAUAGAACACCGAUUGCGAAGGCAGCUUACUACAUAUAAAUUGACGCUGAGGCACGAAAGCGUGGGGAUCAAACA